AAUCAACGCUGGCGGCGUGCCUCAGACAUGCAAGUCGAACGAUUAAGACUCUCUUCGGAGAGUGCAUAAAGUGGCGCACGGGUGAGUAACACGUAAGUAAUCUACCCUCGAGUGGGAAGUAACAACCGGAAACGGUUGCUAAUACCGCAUAAUGCAGCGGCACCGCAAGGUGACAGUUGUUAAAGAUUUAUCGCUUGGGGAGGAGCUUGCGGCAGAUUAGCAGUUGGUAAGGUAAUGGCUUACCAAGGCUACGAUCUGUAACCGGUCUAAGAGGACGGUCGGUCACACUGACACUGAA
RNAcentral lists this ribosomal RNA (298 nucleotides) under uncultured bacterium. RNAcentral's name for it is "partial 16S ribosomal RNA". It matches the Rfam family "Bacterial small subunit ribosomal RNA", at positions 32 to 323 of the family's 1533-position model. The record is from RNAcentral.